CCUUCGGACUGGCCCAGGGAGGUCGGCAACGACCACCCAGGGCCGGAAAGUUGGUCAAACUCGGUCAUUUAGAGGAAGUAAAAGUCGUAACAAGGUCUCCGUAGGUGAACCUGCGGAGGGAUCAUU
RNAcentral lists this ribosomal RNA (126 nucleotides) under Pseudocercospora madagascariensis. Its description in RNAcentral is "partial 18S ribosomal RNA". It matches the Rfam family "Eukaryotic small subunit ribosomal RNA", at positions 1707 to 1830 of the family's 1831-position model. Lineage: Eukaryota; Fungi; Ascomycota; Dothideomycetes; Mycosphaerellales; Mycosphaerellaceae. The record is from RNAcentral.